Molecule: ribosomal RNA, 252 nt
Filed under: uncultured Lachnospiraceae bacterium
Lineage: Bacteria; Bacillati; Bacillota; Clostridia; Lachnospirales; Lachnospiraceae
Description: partial 16S ribosomal RNA
Rfam family: Bacterial small subunit ribosomal RNA
Source: RNAcentral
UGUGACUGAGUGGCGGACGGGUGAGUAACGCGUGGAUAACCUGCCUCACACAGGGGAUAACAGUCGGAAACGACUGCUAAUACCGCAUGAGCGCACAGCACCGCAUGGUGCAGUGUGAAGAACUCCGGUGGUGUGAGAUGGAUCCGCGUCUGAUUAGCUUGUUGGCGGGGUAACGGCCCACCAAGGCGACGAUCAGUAGCCGGCCUGAGAGGGCGACCGGCCACAUUGGGACUGAGACACGGCCCAGACUCC